RNAcentral lists this long non-coding RNA (2261 nucleotides) under Helianthus annuus (common sunflower). RNAcentral's name for it is "hypothetical non coding rna". Lineage: Eukaryota; Viridiplantae; Streptophyta; Magnoliopsida; Asterales; Asteraceae. The record is from RNAcentral.
UUCUCAUUUUCUCUUCUUCACAUCUGACUUGGGAGCUCUCUCAAGCAUUGGGACUUUGUCUUCUUUGUUGAAAAGAUAGCAAGGACCCUUAGUGAGCAUUCUUUCAUUCUUUUAUUUGCUUUUUCCUUAUGUAGUGCAGAAAGUCAAACGUUUGGCCAACAGUUUGACUUUCGGUUUUGACCAUCAAUUGGUCAAGUCAAAGUUCAAUUGAACUUUGAAACGUGAUUGUAAUCACGAUAGUUAUAAUCCUUCGUGAUUAUAGUCGCUGAUUACCACGUUAGCUAGUUGUAGUGUCGAGUCAAAGUUUCGGUCAAAAUGCGUUUUAGCACGCAUUUUGCAACGGAACUACUUUAGGGUAUCAAAACACUUUGUUUUGAUACCAAAUCAGUAGGUUAAACAUGUUUUGACAUGUUUAACUCGACACUAUUAGUUUGUGCUUGUUUAGAGUCGUAAGUCGAGCGGCCUAAACCACCGCUUAGACUUUCGAACUCUGCCCGUUUGGUCGAUCUUUAGGAUCCGACCAAGCAUGGUUAGUGACCAUAGUUGCAUAGGGAAUAACCUUCCUAGGUUAUACCUUAUGGUCACCGAGUUUAAGUAGUUGUAUGAUAGGUAGAUUAUAUGCCUUAGGUAAAUUACCAAAAUGCCAUUUUCAUGCAUAAUUGGACUUUAAGCAUAUGUAACCUAACUUUUGUCACCUAAACUGAUUAUUCAACCUAUUUAAACAUGUUUAGGCAUAUAAUACUUGUCAUAGGACUAGUUAGACGUCUCGAACGCGCGUUGCGCGCACGACGCGCUAAAGUGGCGUAAGCUACCUUAAUGGGCCGUGAUGGGUCGAAAGCACUUAGGUUAGGUUCCGAUUUAGAAUGUAGGCUUUGUUAAACCAUAUCACAUGAGUUCCUACACUCAUUUGGUUUACAAGACCUCAUUCUUUCCGAUCUUCCGAUUUAGGCGUCUGUUGUUUGACUAGUGAUCCGAUACUAGGUACCACUUGAUUCCUUGAUUGCGCGAGCAUUGAUAGUUCACAAAAUCAGGGAUACCCUACAAUCUCAAGUGAGUACAUAGUUUCCCUAUUUUAUUUUUUUCAAUUGUUUUGGGGUGAUUCAUAUGUACAAAACGAAUUUCAAGGUUUACUUGAGGAUUUCAAAAACAAUGGUUUAUACUAAACUAAUAACGAUUUCAAUAAGGUGAACAAGACUUGUUGGUUGUAUUUACAUAACAAAUGACAUUCAUUAGCUCUGAUCAAGCCGACCAGUAUUAGGUUAUGGUACCAUAGGAUUUGACAAAUCCUGUUAUUAGACUACACCCAUUGUUAUGUGUGGGGGUUAUGUAGAUAAUGACCGAAUCUGUUAUUGUUAACUUACCCUUUGGUGGUUUGUUAAUGCGAGAAACGAGUUAGACGAGUCACAAAGGUUUGAAUGUUGUUAGCAAGACGACCAAAAGUAGUUUCACUAUUAAAACGAAUACGAUUUUGGGACGAGUUAAACAAUUUGAAACGAGAUACAAGAUUUGAAACAAGUUAGACGAAUUAAACGAUUGGUUUUGGGUAGUGAUUAGUUAAUGGGACGGGUGUAGUAUGAUAGAAUCAUGGUAGAUACGCCGCUGGUACAUCUUAUAUAUAAAUGCUUCUAUCAUAUUACAUUGUGUGUCAUUAUUUAGUUCACUGGGGAAACGAUUUUGAAACGAUGUCACACAACGAGGUUUUCAAAACGAUAUAAACCAUACAAGUUUUAUUAACGAGUUUUUACGAGAUGUUUACAAGUUGUUAUACUUAAACCAAUGUUUUUGAGCUAAGAGUCAUGGCUACGAGAUUUUAUAAACUAUAACCAAUUUGAUUUGAGUUGGUUAAUUAUGUUGCAAUACACUUUUCUAAACGAGGUGGUAUUGCUUGAUGUUGCUUGCUAGGAAGCUUGUAUCACUUAGGACCUGGACGAGGCCUUAGUGAUUUAAAAACAGUUAUAAACAAUAUGUAGUUUGUUUGUUUUGAUUUAAAGACAAUGUACAUUACAUAAUAAUUCAAUAAAACAAAACAUUUGGUUACCAUGGUUGUGAAACAAUAAUUCUGUUGCAACACUCCUCGACGUUUCCGCCACGGUUUGUUGUUUUAACGUGGUCAGGGUGUGACAUUGGACAACCUUGGUAUCUUACCAUUACUAUACUAUGCCAACGAUGGGUGCAUUUGCCCUAGCAUGUUAUAGAGAAUGAUAGUGUUAUAUCGUGUUUUAUAAAUUUAAAGCUUGUUAAAAGAGUAAAAGGUACUUAAA